Molecule: long non-coding RNA, 1357 nt
Filed under: Bemisia tabaci
Lineage: Eukaryota; Metazoa; Arthropoda; Insecta; Hemiptera; Aleyrodidae
Description: lncRNA ENSSSA2NGG010216
Source: RNAcentral
UCUCAAGUCCCUUAAAUUGCCUAGUCAGGAUAUUGAAGGCGAACUGGUCGAGGUGAGUGUGAAACAUCGUCAUUGGAGUGAUAGGUAUGCGUCUGUAGCCAGUGGACGUGAAAAAGUACACAAUUUUUCUUCUUUCUUACAAAAUUCACCCCCAAAAUAAUAAAAUAGAAACAAAUUGAACAAAAAAAAAAUAAAAAAUCACUUCUGUGCCGCCUGUAAGAAUAGACUGGUUGAGUCGAAGUCAGGCACUUUUUUUUUUUUUUUUUUUGCCCGCAUUGAUACCGGCUGGGAGAUGGAGAAUUGAAAUCUCUCUUUUUUAAGCAUAAAAUAACUAGCAAUUUAUUAAGUAGAAGGUAGGGAAUACCAUAGACAGAGGGGAUAAAAAAUGAUAUCGUUAUCAAGACACAUGAGUCUAAUCAAAGGGCGAGAUGUUGACCCAAAAUCGAACAAAUGACAUGAAACCUCUUCGAUCAGACUAUCAGUCGUGACGUGUCUCUUGCAUUGAUAAUUUCAACUGAAAUAAUUAGUCCCGUUAGGUGGGAACAAGGAGCACGCCUGCUUAAAAAAAGAUGGCGACAUCCUCACAAAACGUUAAUAGUUUUUCCCGAUCACUCAACCGGUUUGUUUUACAACUGAUGACAUCGUUACUCAUUGCAACGGUUUUCAACUCAUGCGAGACCCAAGGUUGGCUAGACCUCCGUGAAUCCUCGGAGGAAAACGAGAGUGAAAAUGCAGUACCACUAAAGCCCUUGGUCCCUUUGAACACAUUUAACCAUUUCAUACUGAGUGUGAAAGCGGGUAACUCUAGCGCAGCAGGAAACUCAUCCACAUCUGGAACGAAUUCGACAGAGAGGCCGUAUGAAAUUCCGUUGGCAGGCCUCCUGGUUCUGGCUCAUUUCGACGAGUUCAAAGCUCAGCUGGAGGACGCCUUAAAAGCUUUCAUCGCGAGCGGGAACGACGCGUCAACAAAACUCCACUACGAGGUCUUCGUUUUCGCCUCGUUCUACCCGAUCUCGAAGAUCUACAGCUGCGUGCCCAUCGGAGGAGAGAGCGAGGAGAGGGUCUGCGAGCACAUCCUCAUGCCGAAUCCAGAGGGAGGGGCCAUCAGCGCUUUCGUCAUCAAAUACACUUUGGCCCCGAGCGAGGACCAGCUUCAAGCCACCGCCGACGAAGGACUGAAGCAAAUGUUGGCCCACCGCAUCGAUGGGACUCUCCUGAAAAAUAAUCAGCACGUCAGAUUCGUGCACAGCCUUUGCCUCUCGUUCCAUAAAACAAGUGUUGGUCUAGCGCACAAGAAGGAAGUUAAGGAUGAAAUCAAAUUCUAAAACUGAAUUCAAAUCGUCACCUCCCAGCCGAG